AGCCCUCUGUAUCCGUCCUGAGAUUUCGUCAGCAACCAACCCAUUGGGGCUGAUGUAAUUCGCCAAAUAGGUGAAGUA
This 78-nucleotide microRNA precursor is filed under the name Trichobilharzia regenti. RNAcentral describes it as "mir-3492 microRNA precursor family". It matches the Rfam family "mir-3492 microRNA precursor family". The record is from Rfam by way of RNAcentral. Lineage: Eukaryota; Metazoa; Platyhelminthes; Trematoda; Strigeidida; Schistosomatidae.